GACAGAGGGUGCAAGCGUUGUUCGGAAUUACUGGGCGUAAAGCGCGUGUAGGCUGCUUGGAAAGUCGGAUGUGAAAGCCCUGGGCUCAACCUAGGAAGUGCAUUCGAAACUUCCAAGCUGGAGUGCUGGAGAGGAAGGCGGAAUUCUCGGUGUAGAGGUGAAAUUCGUAGAUAUCGAGAGGAACACCGGUGGCGAAGGCGGCCUUCUGGACAGUUACUGACGCUGAGACGCGAAAGCGUGGGGAGCAAACAGG
RNAcentral lists this ribosomal RNA (253 nucleotides) under uncultured bacterium. Its description in RNAcentral is "partial 16S ribosomal RNA". It matches the Rfam family "Bacterial small subunit ribosomal RNA", at positions 524 to 776 of the family's 1533-position model. The record is from RNAcentral.